GUUCGGCGCCAAAGCGCGGAGCGGAGGCCGAGGCGAGAGCCUGGCGCUGUAGGACUAGAACGAAAGGAGUGAGGCGCCGAGAGCCCAGAUACCAUUUUGGCGUGAGAGCUGGUGGUUGGCAAGGCCGCGGGAGUGGGAAGCGUCCGCCAUGUUCUGCGAAAAAGCCAUGGAACUGAUCCGCGAGCUGCAUCGCGCGCCCGAAGGGCAACUGCCUGCCUUCAACGAGGAUGGACUCAGACAAGUUCUGGAGGAGAUGAAAGCUUUGUAUGAACAAAACCAGUCUGAUGUGAAUGAAGCAAAGUCAGGUGGACGAAGUGAUUUGAUACCAACUAUCAAAUUUCGACACUGUUCUCUGUUAAGAAAUCGACGCUGCACUGUAGCAUACCUGUAUGACCGCUUGCUUCGGAUCAGAGCACUCAGAUGGGAAUAUGGUAGCGUCUUGCCAAAUGCAUUACGAUUUCACAUGGCUGCUGAAGAAAUGGAAUCUCGCUCUGUUGCCCAGGCUGGAGUACAGUGGUGCAUUCUCUGCUCACUGCAACUUCCGCCUCCUGGCUUCAAGCAAUUCUCCUGCCUCAGCCUGCCAAGUAGCUGUGAUUACAGAUGGAGUGGUUUAAUAAUUAUAAAAGAUCUCUUGCUACUUAUAUGAGGUCACUGGGAGGAGAUGAAGGUUUGGACAUUACACAGGAUAUGAAACCACCAAAAAGCCUAUAUAUUGAAGUCCGGUGUCUAAAAGACUAUGGAGAAUUUGAAGUUGAUGAUGGCACUUCAGUCCUAUUAAAAAAAAAUAGCCAGCACUUUUUACCUCGAUGGAAAUGUGAGCAGCUGAUCAGACAAGGAGUCCUGGAGCACAUCCUGUCAUGACCAUGCGCCGAGGCACUUCCAGGCUUCACUCAACUCAUGGACUCCUCUGUACUCACUCUCUCCACCACUCCCUUCACCUCCCUCUUUGAUUUUAGAAGCUAUAGACAUUGUUUAAGAUAACUAAGAAUACUUGGCUAAGAAGUAUAAUUUGCUAACUAUUAAGGACUUUCUUUUUUUAAUGUUGUACACUAUUCUUCCUACUCUUUUUUGGUUUUGGUUUUGUUUUGUAGAGACUGUCUCACUAUGUUGCCCAAGCUGGUCUCAAACUCCUGGCCUCAAGCAGUCCUCCCACCUUAGCUUCUCAAAGUGUUGAGAUCACAGGCGUGAGCCACUGCACCCGGCCCCUACUCCUUUUUCUAAUAAGCUGUAUCUGUAAUCACAGCAUUCCUACAGUUGUUACAGUGUGUUUUUUAAAUGAAAGUAAACAUGGUUACAUUUGAAUCUCUUAAAUAAGCAGUCACUUGGCUGGACAGGAAGAAGGUAGAUCCUGUGUGUCUUGUUUUCUGGUCAUGUGUAUUGUACAAGCUAGAGAGCUGAAUUUCUGAGAUACACAUUUUCAAAUCACAUGCAAGUGAAGAUGAUGGUCUGUAGAAAUUUUCAGUAUAUAUAAUGUUUAAUGACAUACUAAUUUAUCAUCUGGCUAUUUGGGAAGGAAGGACACACAUGGAUUUUGCACAUUUCCACCAUGGUGGCUGGUGUGGCUUGUGGCUAUGGGGUGAUCACCAGUAUCACCACUUUGGAAGGGGACAGUGAAAUUGGGGCUAGAGAAGGAACUUUGUACAGUUUUCCCUGAGAUUCAGAUUGACUGAAAAGUCACAUGAAGAGUUGAUUGUCUUUUAAUGGUAUGUUUUAAACAGCUGACAUUUUAAAUUUUGAUGAAAUCCAGUUUAUUCGUUUGUUCUUUUAUGCUUUGGGUGUUGCAUCCGAGAAAUCUUUUCCCAUCCCAAGAUCACAAUUUUUUUUCCUUUUUACUUCUAGAAGUGUUAUAAUUUUAAGCUUUAUACUUUGGUCUAUGACCCGUUUUUUUUUUUGUUUUGUUUUGUUUUUUCGUUUGUUUCUUUGUUUUGAGAUGGAGUCUUGUUCUGUCACCCAGGCUGGGGUGCAGUGGCGUGAUCUUGGCUCACUGCAAUCUCUAUCCCCUGGGUUCAAGUGAUUCUCUUGUCUCAGCCUCCCAAGUAGCUGGGAUUACAGGCACAGGCCGCCACGCCUGGCUAAUUUUUGUAUUUUUAGUAGAGACAGAGUUUUACCAUGUUGGCCAGGCUGGUUUCAAACUCCUGACCUCAAGUGACCCACCUUGGCCUCCCAAAGUUUUGGGAUUACAAGUGUGGGCCACCGCGGCCAGCCUAUGAUCCAUUUUGAAUGAAUUUUUUAUAUGGUGCAAGGUGUCAAUCCACCUUCACUUUUUCUUGGGAAUAUAGAUAUCCAGCUGUUUCACUACCAUUUUUUGAAAGGACUGCCCUUUGCUCUAUCACCUUUGCAUUUUUGUUAAAAAGUAGUUGUCAAUGUAUAUGUGGGUUUAUUUCAGGACUCUGUUUUGUUCCAUUGACCUGUUUUUCUCUCCUGAAUGCCAAUACCAUAUUUGUAUGUAGUGUAUGUAAUUUUCUAAUAAUUCUUGAAACAGAUAGUAUUAAUGUGUCAUAUUUUUGCUGUUGUUUGUAUUUUUUGUAGAGAUGGGGUUUCACCGUGUUGGCCAGGCUGUGUUGAACUCCUGAGCUAAAGCAAUACACUUGCCUCGUCCUCCCCAUGUGCUGGGAUUACAGGCGUGAGCCUUGGUGCUGGCCCAGUGUACCACAUUUCUUUUUGAGAUUUGUUUUGGCUAUGUUAAGUCCUUUGCUUUUGAUGUGAAAUUUGGGAACAGGCAGGGUGUGGUGGCUUAUGCCUGUAAUCCUAGAACUUUGGGAGGCCUAGAUGGGUGGAUCACUUGAGCUCAGGAGUUCCAGACCAGCCCGGGCCUAUGGCAAAACUCCGUCUCUACAAAAAAUAGAAAAAAUUAGCCAGGUGUGGUGGUGCAUGCCUGUAGUCACAGUUACACGGCAGGCUGAGGUGGGAGGAUCACUUGAACCCCAGAGGUCAAGACUGCAGUGAGCUGAGAUCACACCACUGUACUCCAGCCUGGGUGACAAAGUGAGACUCUAUCUCAAAAAGAAAUUAGGAUCAAUUUGUCAAUUUCUACAACAACAACAACAAAAACCCCUGUUGGGCACCUUGAUUGAGAUUGCAUUGAAUUUAUAUAAAACUGUUGGGAGAAUUGACAUCUUAAUAAUAUUGAGUCUUCUGGCCUAUAAACAAGGUCUGUCUUCCUAGGUAUUAAUGUUUUGUCUUCUAUUUCUCUUAAUAAUCUUUUGUAGUUUUCAGUGUACAGGUCUACCAUGUCAGCAUUUCAUAGUUUUGAUGCUAAAUGGUAUUUUAAAAUUUCAAAUUCUAACCACUUGUUGCUAGUAAAUAGAAAUACAAUUGAUGUUGAACUUGUAUCCUUCAGCCUUGCUAAACUGUGAGUUCUCAUGGUGUUUUUGUAAAUUACAUCAACAGUCAUGUGUUCUAUGAAUAAAGAGUUUUACUCCUUCCUUUCUAA
RNA transcript from Homo sapiens (human), 3433 nucleotides. It is a transcript of the gene named GINS complex subunit 1, with no coding region annotated. The transcript has 8 exons. The record is from RefSeq and is marked validated. Lineage: Eukaryota; Metazoa; Chordata; Mammalia; Primates; Hominidae.